This is a long non-coding RNA of Ctenocephalides felis (cat flea), 279 nucleotides long. RefSeq lists it as uncharacterized. NCBI's taxonomy places the organism in Eukaryota, Metazoa, Arthropoda, Insecta, Siphonaptera, Pulicidae. The record is from RefSeq and is a predicted model, not a curated record. The transcript has 3 exons.
GGCGGACACGACGGAGGUUUCGCCGCCGGUUACGGAGGACAUGGAGGUUAUGACGGCGGUCACGGACACGCCAGCAGCUACUCCACUUUCACAAGGGUUUCACAUCCAGUGAAAGUUGCCAAAAUCGUCUCAGGAGGUUUCGGCAAAUACGGUGCCAGCGGCCACGGCUGGUAAAUCAUCACCACCACCACCAUCAGACCACCAGGGCGAGCAUUCAACUAAAUUGUUCAAAACCAACAAAAUGUACAAAUUCUUUCCCGAUUACGAAAAGUACGAACC